This 500-nucleotide ribosomal RNA is filed under the name uncultured bacterium. RNAcentral's name for it is "bacterial SSU rRNA". It matches the Rfam family "Bacterial small subunit ribosomal RNA", at positions 33 to 507 of the family's 1533-position model. The record is from RNAcentral.
AACGACGCUGGCGGUGCGCCUAACACAUGCAAGUCGAGCGCGAAAGUCCCUUCGGGGCGAGUAGAGCGGCGGACGGGUGAGUAAUACAUGGGUAAUCUACCCCCGAGCUUGGGAUAACCCCGCGAAAGCGGGCUAAUACCUGAUAAGACCACAUAACACAAGUUGUGUGGUAAAAGGUGGCUUGAAUUUAUUCUAGCUAUCACUUGAGGAUGAGUCCAUGGCCUAUCAGCUUGUUGGUGAGGUAAGAGCUUACCAAGGCUAUGACGGGUAGCUGGUCUGAGAGGACGACCAGCCACACUGGGACUGAGACACGGCCCAGACUCCUACGGGAGGCAGCAGUGGGGAAUAUUGGGCAAUGGGCGAAAGCCUGACCCAGCGACACCGCGUGGGUGAUGAAAGCCUUCGGGUUGUAAAGCCCUUUCGUGCGGAAAGAACUGUUCCGCGGUUAAUACCCGCGGAAUUUGACGGUACCGCAGGAAGAAGCACCGGCUAACUCCGUG